This 24-nucleotide unclassified non-coding RNA is filed under the name Mus musculus (house mouse). RNAcentral describes it as "oocyte_clustered_small_RNA10740". Lineage: Eukaryota; Metazoa; Chordata; Mammalia; Rodentia; Muridae. The record is from RNAcentral.
UGAGAAAGUUCUGGGGAAGGACUG